This 406-nucleotide ribosomal RNA is filed under the name uncultured bacterium. RNAcentral's name for it is "partial 16S ribosomal RNA". It matches the Rfam family "Bacterial small subunit ribosomal RNA", at positions 28 to 526 of the family's 1533-position model. The record is from RNAcentral.
GAUGAACGCUAGCUACAGGCUUAACACAUGCAAGUCGAGGGACCGGCGCACGGGUGAGUAACACGUAUCCACCCUGCCCUUUACUCGGGGAUAGCCUUUCGACAGAAAGAUUAAUACCCGAUAUAAAGGAUGGGGAUGCGUUCCAUUAGGUUGUUGGUGAGGUAACGGCCCACCAAGACUUCGAUGGGUAGGGGUUCGGAGAGGAAGGUCCCCGAGAUUGGAACAGGGACCCGGUCCAAACGCCUACGGGAGGCAGGAGUGAGGAAGAUUGGUCAAUGGGCGUUAGCCAGAACCAGCCAAGUAGCGUGAAGGAUGAAGGCUUAUGGGUCGUAAACUUCUUUUAUAUAAGAAUAUGUAUUAGAUGAAUAAGCAUCGGCUAACUCCGUGCCAGCAGCCGCGGUAAUAC